This 332-nucleotide unclassified non-coding RNA is filed under the name Hevea brasiliensis (rubber tree). Lineage: Eukaryota; Viridiplantae; Streptophyta; Magnoliopsida; Malpighiales; Euphorbiaceae. The record is from RNAcentral.
CGCAUGAGGAAUUGAUUUUCUUAAUUUCCAAACCAUAGCCGUCUUUUACAAUAAAACAACCGAACUCAUGGCAUUGAGGAGUGAUAGAGUUAGGAAUUUACAUCAAGAAUCAGAAAUGAAGAAUAAGCAAAAUUUCUUUGUUCCAAUAGCUGUACAAUAAUUAAAUCAAGGAAUUUCAGAUUCGUUCAAUAAUAAGAAAAAAAAUAAAAAUAGACUCAGCUAGAAAUAUGAAUAAAACCAGAAUGCUAAUUACUGUCAACGAUCCCCGUUAAUAGACUGUUUCUGUUCUUAUCAUCAGGAGAUAGACCGCUAAAAAAAAAGGUUUUGCAACC